This is a non-coding RNA of Perkinsus marinus ATCC 50983, 368 nucleotides long. Lineage: Eukaryota; Perkinsozoa; Perkinsida; Perkinsidae. The record is from Rfam.
GUCUGUGAUGCCCUUAGAUGUUCUGGGCUGCACGCGCGCUACACUGACACGAUCAACAAGUAUUUCCUUGCCCGGUAGGGUUAGGGUAAUCUUUUGAAAUCGUGUCGUGCUAGGGAUAGACGAUUGCAAUUAUUCGUCUUCAACGAGGAAUUCCUAGUAAAUGCAAGUCAUCAGCUUGCGUUGAUUACGUCCCUGCCCUUUGUACACACCGCCCGUCGCUCCUACCGAUUGAGUGAUCCGGUGAGCUGUCCGGACUGCGAUUAGUUCAGUUUCUGUUCUCUUCGCGGGAAGUUCUGCAAACCUUAUCACUUAGAGGAAGGAGAAGUCGUAACAAGGUUUCCGUAGGUGAACCUGCGGAAGGAUCAUUC